Molecule: ribosomal RNA, 519 nt
Filed under: uncultured bacterium
Lineage: Bacteria
Description: bacterial SSU rRNA
Rfam family: Bacterial small subunit ribosomal RNA
Source: RNAcentral
AGAGUUUGAUCCUGGCUCAGAUUGAACGCUGGCGGAAUGCUUUACACAUGCAAGUCGAGCGGCAGCGCGGGGCAACCUGGCGGCGAGCGGCGAACGGGUGAGUAACAUAUCGGAACGUAUCCAUAAGUGGGGGACAACCUGGCGAAAGCCAGGCUAAUACCGCAUACGCAGGAGACUGGAAAGUGGGGGACCGCAAGGCCUCACGCUUUAGGAGCGGCCGAUAUCCGAUUAGCUUGUUGGUGAGGUAAAGGCUUACCAAGGCUAUGAUCGGUAGCUGGUCUGAGAGGAUGAUCAGCCACACUGGAACUGAGACACGGUCCAGACUCCUACGGGAGGCAGCAGUGGGGAAUUUUGGACAAUGGGGGCAACCCUGAUCCAGCCAUUCCGCGUGAGUGAAGAAGGCCUUCGGGUUGUAAAGCUCUUUUGUUCGGGACGAAACGGUUAAGGUUAAUAACCUUGACUACUGACGGUACCGGAAGAAUAAGCACCGGCUAACUACGUGCCAGCAGCCGCGGUAAU